AGAUUGAACGCUAGCGGGAUGCUUUACACGUGCAAGUCGAACGGCAGCGCGGACUUCGGUCUGGCGGCGAGUGGCGAACGGGUGAGUAAUAUAUCGGAACGUGCCCAGUAGCGGGGGAUAACUACGCGAAAGCGUGGCUAAUACCGCAUACGCCCGUACGGGGGAAAGGGGGGGAUUCUUCGGAACCUCUCACUAUUGGAGCGGCCGAUAUCAGAUUAGCUAGUUGGUGAGGUAAAGGCUCACCAAGGCGACGAUCUGUAGCUGGUUUGAGAGGACGACCAGCCACACUGGGACUGAGACACGGCCCA
This 308-nucleotide ribosomal RNA is filed under the name uncultured soil bacterium. RNAcentral's name for it is "bacterial SSU rRNA". It matches the Rfam family "Bacterial small subunit ribosomal RNA", at positions 26 to 333 of the family's 1533-position model. The record is from RNAcentral.